This is a long non-coding RNA of Astatotilapia calliptera (eastern happy), 1322 nucleotides long. Lineage: Eukaryota; Metazoa; Chordata; Actinopteri; Cichliformes; Cichlidae. The record is from Ensembl.
AUUGAAUUGAGUAGUUUCACAUUUUUAACAUUUAAAAAUUCCUUUGCUUCCUAUUCCUAUUGCUAUUCAAAAUAUGGUAAAGCCAGCUGUCAGUCAAAUAUGGACGUACAGAGCCAGCAGAGUUGAGGGAAAAAAGGAUUUAAUAACUAUACAGGUGGAAAGCCGUUUCCUCCUAAUUGAAAACUGUGCUCUAGUUUUUUGUUUUUUUAAAUGCAUGUGGAAACUUAAAGAUGUUAAAACAGUUAUCUAAAGUUAAUUAGUUAGAUUAGCAGUCCAGUGUAAUUUCAUAGUUUGAAAUCAGCCACUGGACCCCAAGUCUUUAAUAAAGUUAGUAGUUUGCAUUUACCACUGACUGGACUGUAAUAGCACGGACGAUGGCACGAGAAAGACCUCUCAGUUUUUGUUUUUUUGUUUUUUUUCCCCAAUUAACAGAAGGAGGGAGUUCUGUGGAACUGCAGCCCAUCAAUUAUUCAUUGUGGAUUUUUACAGAAGAUUCUUGGGAGUUCCUGUGAAUAUUAAAGCAGACAACCGAGCAGAUGUGUUACAUUGCUCUCAUCUAACAGAUCUCUCUGGGAUUCAGCCUGUUCCUCUUCCCCUUUGCUUUCAUUCAUUCAUCUCUGCAGGCAGCGUCAUAGCCCACCUGGGUCAGUGGGCAAUAUAAACUAAGGGUGAGGGGCAAUAUUUGUUUGAACUUCUUGAAUUAAACUUUUUUUUCAUAAUCUUCUGCUUUAGAUUUUUAUUUUUUAUUUUUUGUACGAAAUGAGUCUCAACCACUUUGCUUAUCAGCAUGUUCCUUUUUUUCAGUGAAGUGGUACCUUCAAAGUGGCCUGCUCUGCAAUGAAUUCCAAAUUGACACAUCAUUCCAUUAAUGUUUAUUAUGCUGACAAUGAAGACCAGUGUAUGCCAAUUAGUCCAUUAGUUAUGUUUGCCUAGCUAAGUGCUUUAUGGGAGUAGAAGUUACUGGAUGGAUGGGGUUUUCAGCUGUCCUGACCCAACCACGUCAGCAGUGUGCCUUAAAAUCGCAGGAACAGUGUUGUUCAUUUUAAACUCACAAACGUAUUUUUGUGAUGCACAAAGAAAUUGAUAUCUAUGUAUUGGUUAAAAGGAAUUUCAUUUGGAUCUGUCUGUAGAUUUUCGCAAUAUCUUGUCACAAAGCUGCUUAAUUAACUCCUGUCAUAAGGCUGAAUGAGGCAGGCAGGAAUGAGGUCCCAAAAUGCAGACUCGUAGGCAGAACAAAAUUCAGCUUUAUUCCUGGACUGCAAGAAUACCAAACUAGGAGGUACUAGAAACUAAACAAACAAGCAGAACACACAGCUGACGAA